GUGGGGAAUUUUGGACAAUGGGCGCAAGCCUGAUCCAGCCAUGCCGCGUGCAGGAUGAAGGCCUUCGGGUUGUAAACUGCUUUUGUACGGAACGAAAAGACUCUGGUUAAUACCUGGGGUCCAUGACGGUACCGUAAGAAUAAGCACCGGCUAACUACGUGCCAGCAGCCGCGGUAAUACGUAGGGUGCGAGCGUUAAUCGGAAUUACUGGGCGUAAAGCGUGCGCAGGCGGUUAUGUAAGACAGAUGUGAAAUCCCCGGGCUCAACCUGGGAACUGCAUUUGUGACUGCAUAGCUAGAGUACGGUAGAGGGGGAUGGAAUUCCGCGUGUAGCAGUGAAAUGCGUAGAUAUGCGGAGGAACACCGAUGGCGAAGGCAAUCCCCUGGACCUGUACUGACGCUCAUGCACGAAAGCGUGGGGAGCAAACAGGAUUAGAAACCCUGGUAGUCC
RNAcentral lists this ribosomal RNA (450 nucleotides) under uncultured bacterium. RNAcentral's name for it is "partial 16S ribosomal RNA". It matches the Rfam family "Bacterial small subunit ribosomal RNA", at positions 354 to 796 of the family's 1533-position model. The record is from RNAcentral.